CCCCAGGGGUGGAGAAACAAAGUCAGGGUGAGGGAAGGAGUUUUGUAAUUUCUUGAAAACAAGUUUGAACUAACAAACUGAUUGUGAAUCUAUAGCAACUCCAAGGGAUAGAAGACCCUAGGAAGGCUGAUCAAAGUUUGCUGGAUUUUGGAUUAGGCAGGCUGGGUGUGAACGCUGCUGUCCAUAGAAUCACAUCAGGCUAGUCAGUCAAAAUUGUGUCCUGACAGUCAAAGCCAAACCCUCUGGGAAAUACAGGAUAACUAAGUCCAUGUGAGAUGUCCAACCACUCUGUUUCAACAGCCUUAGGUGGCAGUUAGAGAUGUAAAUUAC
RNAcentral lists this long non-coding RNA (330 nucleotides) under Bos taurus (domestic cattle). Its description in RNAcentral is "long non-coding RNA NONBTAT000696". Lineage: Eukaryota; Metazoa; Chordata; Mammalia; Artiodactyla; Bovidae. The record is from RNAcentral.